This 373-nucleotide ribosomal RNA is filed under the name uncultured organism. RNAcentral describes it as "partial 16S ribosomal RNA". It matches the Rfam family "Bacterial small subunit ribosomal RNA", at positions 526 to 896 of the family's 1533-position model. The record is from RNAcentral.
GUAGGGGAGCAAGCGUUGUUCGGAAUCAUUGGGCGUAAAGAGCGCGUAGGUGGCUUGGGUAAGUCUGUUGUGAAAGCCCACAGCUCAACUGUGGAACUGCGACAGAAACUGCCUGGCUAGAGUGCGGGAGAGGAAAGUGGAAUUCCCAGUGUAGAGGUGAAAUUCGUAGAUACUGGGAGGAACACCGGUGGCGAAGGCGGCUUUCUGGACCGCAACUGGCGCUGAGGCGCGAAAGCUAGGGGAGCGAACGGGAUUAGAUACCCCGGUAGUCCUAGCCGUAAACGAUGGGCACUAGGUGUAGGGGGUAUCGACCCCUUCUGUGCCGUAGCUAACGCAUUAAGUGCCCCGCCUGGGGAGUACGGUCGCAAGACUA